Molecule: unclassified non-coding RNA, 304 nt
Organism: Callithrix jacchus (white-tufted-ear marmoset)
Lineage: Eukaryota; Metazoa; Chordata; Mammalia; Primates; Cebidae
Rfam family: Metazoan signal recognition particle RNA
About the family: The signal recognition particle (SRP) is a universally conserved ribonucleoprotein.
Source: Ensembl
GCUGGAUGUGGUGGUACAUGCCUGUAAGUCCCAGCUACUCAGGAGGCUGAGGUGGGAGGAUGACUUGAGCUCAGGAAUUCUUGGCUUUAGUGUAUGCUUUGGGUGCUAUCAGGUGUCAGCAUAAGUUCCACAUCAAUAUGGUGACCACGUAGGAGCGGAGACCACCAGGUUACCUAAGGAGGGGUGAAUCAGCCCACGUCAGAAACGGAGCAGGUCAAAAACUCCCCGCCGAUCAGUAGUGGUAUCACAUCUGUGAAUAGCCACUGCACUCCAGCCUGGGCAAAAUAGUGAGACCCUGUCUCUA